RNAcentral lists this ribosomal RNA (848 nucleotides) under Soloacrosporiella acaciae. RNAcentral's name for it is "eukaryotic LSU rRNA". It matches the Rfam family "Eukaryotic large subunit ribosomal RNA", at positions 56 to 932 of the family's 3401-position model. Lineage: Eukaryota; Fungi; Ascomycota; Dothideomycetes. The record is from RNAcentral.
GAAAAGAAACCAACAGGGAUUGCCCUAGUAACGGCGAGUGAAGCGGCAAAAGCUCAAAUUUGAAAUCUGGCCGCAAGGUCCGAGUUGUAAUUUGGAGAGGAAUGUUCGGCGAGACGCAGACCCGAGUCUUCUGGAAGGGAGCGCCACUGAGGGUGAGAGCCCCGUACGGUCGUCAGUCGAGCCAUGCGAACGUCCUUCGAAGAGUCGAGUUGUUUGGGAAUGCAGCUCUAAGCGGGUGGUAAAUUCCAUCUAAAGCUAAAUAUUGGCCAGAGACCGAUAGCGCACAAGUAGAGUGAUCGAAAGAUGAAAAGCACUUUGGAAAGAGAGUGAAACAGUACGUGAAAUUGUUGAAAGGGAAGCGCAAGCGACCAGACUUGGGAGCCAGGCUCAGCCGUCCAUCUGGGCGGUGUACUCCUGCGCUCACGGGCCAGCAUCAGCUCUGGCGGCCGGAGAAAGGCGUGGGGAACGUAGCUCAUCCUCGGACGAGUGUUAUAGCCCCUCGCAGAAUACGGCCAGCCGGGGCUGAGGAUAGCGUUCGCUAGGAUGCUGGCGUAAUGGUUGUUUGCGGCCCGUCUUGAAACACGGACCAAGGAGUCUAACGCCUAUGCGAGUGUUUGGGUGGAAAACCCACACGCGGAAUGAAAGUGAACGGAGGUGAGAGCCUUGCGGCGCAUCAUCGACCGAUCCUGACGUCCUCUGACGGAUUUGAGUAUGAGCAUAGUUGUUGGGACCCGAAAGAUGGUGAACUAUACAUGGAUAGGGCGAAGUCAGGGGAAACCCUGAUGGAGGCUCGCAGACGUUCUGACGUGCAAAUCGAUGUUCAAAUUUGCGUAUGGGGGCGAAAGACC